RNAcentral lists this ribosomal RNA (425 nucleotides) under uncultured Chelatococcus sp. Its description in RNAcentral is "bacterial SSU rRNA". It matches the Rfam family "Bacterial small subunit ribosomal RNA", at positions 354 to 796 of the family's 1533-position model. Lineage: Bacteria; Pseudomonadati; Pseudomonadota; Alphaproteobacteria; Hyphomicrobiales; Chelatococcaceae. The record is from RNAcentral.
GUGGGGAAUAUUGGACAAUGGGGGCAACCCUGAUCCAGCCAUGCCGCGUGAGUGAUGAAGGCCUUAGGGUUGUAAAGCUCUUUUGUCCGGGAAGAUAAUGACUGUACCGGAAGAAUAAGCCCCGGCUAACUUCGUGCCAGCAGCCGCGGUAAUACGAAGGGGGCUAGCGUUGCUCGGAAUCACUGGGCGUAAAGGGCGCGUAGGCGGACGAUUAAGUCAGGGGUGAAAUCCCGGGGCUCAACCUCGGAAUUGCCUUUGAUACUGAUUGUCUUGAGAUAGGAAGAGGUAAGUGGAAUUGCGAGUGUAGAGGUGAAAUUCGUAGAUAUUCGCAAGAACACCAGUGGCGAAGGCGACUUACUGGUCCUUAUCUGACGCUGAGGCGCGAAAGCGUGGGGAGCAAACAGGAUUAGAUACCCCUGUAGUCC